This 587-nucleotide ribosomal RNA is filed under the name uncultured bacterium. RNAcentral describes it as "bacterial SSU rRNA". It matches the Rfam family "Bacterial small subunit ribosomal RNA", at positions 338 to 917 of the family's 1533-position model. The record is from RNAcentral.
CCUACGGGAGGCAGCAGUGGGGAAUUUUGGACAAUGGGCGAAAGCCUGAUCCAGCAAUGCCGCGUGAGUGAAGAAGGCCUUCGGGUUGUAAAGCUCUUUUGUCAGGGAAGAAACGGUGUGGGCUAAUAUCCUGCACUAAUGACGGUACCUGAAGAAUAAGCACCGGCUAACUACGUGCCAGCAGCCGCGGUAAUACGUAGGGUGCAAGCGUUAAUCGGAAUUACUGGGCGUAAAGCGUGCGCAGGCGGUUUUGUAAGUCUGUCGUGAAAUCCCCGGGCUCAACCUGGGAAUUGCGAUGGAGACUGCAAGGCUAGAAUCUGGCAGAGGGGGGUAGAAUUCCACGUGUAGCAGUGAAAUGCGUAGAGAUGUGGAGGAACACCGAUGGCGAAGGCAGCCCCCUGGGUCAAGAUUGACGCUCAUGCACGAAAGCGUGGGGAGCAAACAGGAUUAGAUACCCUGGUAGUCCACGCCCUAAACGAUGUCUACUAGUUGUCGGGUUUUAAUUAACUUGGUAACGCAGCUAACGCGUGAAGUAGACCGCCUGGGGAGUACGGUCGCAAGAUUAAAACNCAAAUGAAAUUGACCGG